GACGAACGCUGGCGGCGUGCUUAACACAUGCAAGUCGAACGGAAGGGCCUGCUUUCCCUUGUGGAUUGCGGGUACUCGAGUGGCGAACGGGUGAGUAACACGUGAGUGAUCUGCCCCCAACUUGGGUAUAAGCCUGGGAAACUGGGUCUAAUUCCCGAUAGGACUGCAGGGUGGUGCCUGUGGUGGAAAACGAUUUUCUAGUGGUUGGGGAUGAGCUCGCGGCCUAUCAGCUUGUUGGUGGGGUAAUGGCCUACCAAGGCGGCGACGGGUAGCCGGCCUGAGAGGGUGGACGGCCACAUUGGGACUGAGAUACGGCCCAGACUCCUACGGGAGGCAGCAGUGGGGAAUAUUGCACAAUGGGCGGAAGCCUGAUGCAGCGACGCCGCGUGGGGGAUGACGGCCUUCGGGUUGUAAACUCCUUUCGACCGCGAGGAAGCCACCUGGCUGGAAGGGUGGUGACGGUAGUGGUAGAAGAAGCACCGGCUAACUACGUG
This 494-nucleotide ribosomal RNA is filed under the name uncultured bacterium. RNAcentral's name for it is "partial 16S ribosomal RNA". It matches the Rfam family "Bacterial small subunit ribosomal RNA", at positions 28 to 507 of the family's 1533-position model. The record is from RNAcentral.